AUCAUCACUUGCAAAGUGUCUGGGGUCUUUGGCUGGAGUCUGCUACUCAUGUCUGAAUAUGGCUAAAGGAGUGACUUGGCUUUUCUAGGCUCCAGUUCUUUAAAUACUAAAUAAGAGCAACAUAGUGGACAACUAGAUAUCCAACCACGUAACUUGGUGACUUGGAAGUUCUUGUGUCUAUGCUUCAUGGAUGGGAAUAGGGACAAGGGAUCUUCAUGAAAGAGGGGACUCCUGCACGUCUCAGUGUUCAAAGCUAGCAUCAUGGCAGAGGAACAUCGGCUUCUUCAUGGUGCUUCCAGCAGGUCCUACAAACCAGUGUCUUUCCUAG
This 328-nucleotide long non-coding RNA is filed under the name Mus spicilegus (steppe mouse). RNAcentral describes it as "lncRNA (ENSMSIG00000015065.1)". The record is from RNAcentral. Lineage: Eukaryota; Metazoa; Chordata; Mammalia; Rodentia; Muridae.